RNAcentral lists this small nuclear RNA (307 nucleotides) under Erinaceus europaeus (western European hedgehog). RNAcentral's name for it is "7SK RNA". It matches the Rfam family "7SK RNA". From Rfam's summary of the family: 7SK was discovered as an abundant small nuclear RNA in the mid-70s but a possible function has only recently been suggested. Two independent studies have found that 7SK RNA binds the CDK9/cyclin T complex (known as elongation factor P-TEFb). The record is from Rfam by way of RNAcentral. Lineage: Eukaryota; Metazoa; Chordata; Mammalia; Eulipotyphla; Erinaceidae.
GGAUGUGAGGUCAUCUGGCUGUGACAUCUGUCACCCCACUGGUCGCCAGGGUUGACUCGGCUGAUCUGGCCGGCUAGGCGGGUGACCCCUUCCUCCCUCACCGCUCCAUGUGCGUCUGUCCUGAAGCUGCACGCUCAGUCGAACAGAACGGCCUUCCCCGAAUAGAGACGGACCGGUCCGAGCGUAUGAGCAGCUGCGCUCCCCUGCUAGGACCUCUGAACAAGCUCUCAGGAAUAUCUUGUCUGCAGGGGUGUCUGUCCAGCUCUUCCCCAUAUUUUAGUGGGGUUGCCUGGAUUUUCUGUUCUUG